UGCGAACGCUGGCGGCAGGCCUAACACAUGCAAGUCGAACGAACUCUUCGGAGUUAGUGGCGGACGGGUGAGUAACACGUGGGAACGUGCCCUUAGGUUCGGAAUAACUCAGGGAAACUUGUGCUAAUACCGAAUGUGCCCUUCGGGGGAAAGGUUUAUCGCCUUUAGAGCGGCCCGCGUCUGAUUAGCUAGUUGGUGAGGUAAAGGCUCACCAAGGCGACGAUCAGUAGCUGGUCUGAGAGGAUGAUCAGCCACAUUGGGACUGAGACACGGACCAAACUCCUACGGGAGGCAACAGUGGGGAAUCUUGCGCAAUGGGCGAAAGCCUGACGUAGCCAUGCCGCGUGAAUGAUGAAGGUCUUAGGAUUGUAAAAUUCUUUCACCGGGGACGAUAAUGACGGUACCCGGAGAAUAAGUCCCGGCUAACUUCGUGCCAGCCGCCGCCGUAA
Molecule: ribosomal RNA, 449 nt
Filed under: uncultured bacterium
Lineage: Bacteria
Description: partial 16S ribosomal RNA
Rfam family: Bacterial small subunit ribosomal RNA
Source: RNAcentral